UACGAGAGGCCCGAGCGUUAAUCGGAAUCACUGGGCUUAAAGGGUGCGCAGGCUGGUCCGUGUGUGUGUCGUGAAAUCCCCCGGCUCAACCGGGGAAUUGCGGCGCAAACUGCGGACCUUGAGGCAGGUAGGGGUCGUUGGAACGAUCGGUGGAGCGGUGAAAUGCGUUGAGAUCGAUCGGAACGCCGAAGGUGAAGACAAGCGACUGGGCCUGACCUGACGCUCAUGCACGAAAGCGUGGGGAGCAAACAGG
RNAcentral lists this ribosomal RNA (253 nucleotides) under uncultured bacterium. RNAcentral's name for it is "partial 16S ribosomal RNA". It matches the Rfam family "Bacterial small subunit ribosomal RNA", at positions 524 to 776 of the family's 1533-position model. The record is from RNAcentral.